RNAcentral lists this ribosomal RNA (244 nucleotides) under uncultured Actinomyces sp. RNAcentral describes it as "partial 16S ribosomal RNA". It matches the Rfam family "Bacterial small subunit ribosomal RNA", at positions 796 to 1041 of the family's 1533-position model. Lineage: Bacteria; Bacillati; Actinomycetota; Actinomycetes; Actinomycetales; Actinomycetaceae. The record is from RNAcentral.
CAUGCUGUAAACGUUGGGCACUAGGUGUGGGGAUCGUUGUGGUUUCUGCGCCGUAGCUAACGCAUUAAGUGUCCCGCCUGGGGAGUACGGCCGCAAGGCUAAAACUCAAAGGAAUUGACGGGGACCCGCACAAGCGGCGGAGCAUGCGGAUUAAUUCGAUGCAACGCGAAGAACCUUACCAAGGCUUGACAUGCACCGGUACAGUGUAGAGAUAUGCUGGCCUUUUGGGCUGGUGUGCAGGUGG